CUUGAUUCCUUAGAAUGUUCUUC
Molecule: non-coding RNA, 23 nt
Filed under: Rattus norvegicus (Norway rat)
Lineage: Eukaryota; Metazoa; Chordata; Mammalia; Rodentia; Muridae
Source: RNAcentral